AACCAAUAAUAUGCUCAUC
This 19-nucleotide small nuclear RNA is filed under the name Arabidopsis thaliana (thale cress). Its description in RNAcentral is "snRNA_12491". The record is from RNAcentral. Lineage: Eukaryota; Viridiplantae; Streptophyta; Magnoliopsida; Brassicales; Brassicaceae.